This 212-nucleotide long non-coding RNA is filed under the name Arabidopsis lyrata. RNAcentral describes it as "long non-coding RNA (ALYR_LNC000456)". The record is from RNAcentral. Lineage: Eukaryota; Viridiplantae; Streptophyta; Magnoliopsida; Brassicales; Brassicaceae.
GCACUUAUCUUAAUUGGAGAACUGAAACAGAGACCCGAGAUCUGAUACGGAGAUUGGAAACAGUUAUGUCUCUUAGCUGGUUGGGACCUCACCAUCGAUUUAUUAAACUGACCAUCUCGUUAGCUAGGUUUUCGGCGGAGAUCUUUUUAGUAAUAUCUAAACCAAACUUGAUAACCAGCGAAUAGCAAAUAACUAAAGGUAUGUACAUGUUU